UACGUAGGGUGCAAGCGUUGUCCGGAAUUAUUGGGCGUAAAGAGCUCGUAGGCGGCCUGUCGCGUCGGCUGUGAAAACCCGGGGCUCAACCCCGGGCCUGCAGUCGAUACGGGCAGGCUAGAGUCCGGCAGGGGAGACUGGAAUUCCUAGUGUAGCGGUGAAAUGCGCAGAUAUCAGGAGGAACACCGGUGGCGAAGGCGGGUCUCUGGGCCGGAACUGACGCUGAGGAGCGAAAGCGUGGGGAG
Molecule: ribosomal RNA, 245 nt
Filed under: uncultured Blastococcus sp.
Lineage: Bacteria; Bacillati; Actinomycetota; Actinomycetes; Geodermatophilales; Geodermatophilaceae
Description: partial 16S ribosomal RNA
Rfam family: Bacterial small subunit ribosomal RNA
Source: RNAcentral